This 402-nucleotide ribosomal RNA is filed under the name bacterium. RNAcentral's name for it is "partial 16S ribosomal RNA". It matches the Rfam family "Bacterial small subunit ribosomal RNA", at positions 355 to 776 of the family's 1533-position model. The record is from RNAcentral.
UGGGGAAUUUUGCACAAUGGGGGAAACCCUGAUGCAGCGACGCCGCGUGAUUUAGAAGGCCUUCGGGUUGUAAAAAUCUUUUCUAUGGGAAGAAAAUGACAGUACCAUAGGAAUAAGGACCGGCUAAUUACGUGCCAGCAGCCGCGGUAAUACGUAAGGUCCGAGCGUUGUCCGGAAUCAUUGGGCGUAAAGGGUACGUAGGCGGGUAAGCAAGUUAGAAGUGAAAUCCUAUAGCUCAACUAUAGUAAGCUUUUAAAACUGCUCAUCUUGAGGUAUGGAAGGGAAACUGGAAUUCCUAGUGUAGCGGUGAAAUGCGCAGAUAUUAGGAGGAAUACCGGUGGCGAAGGCGACUUUCUGGCCAUAACCUGACGCUGAGGUACGAAAGCGUGGGUAGCAAACAGG